This 514-nucleotide ribosomal RNA is filed under the name uncultured bacterium. RNAcentral describes it as "partial 16S ribosomal RNA". It matches the Rfam family "Bacterial small subunit ribosomal RNA", at positions 28 to 523 of the family's 1533-position model. The record is from RNAcentral.
GAUGAACGCUGGCGGCGUGCCUAAUACAUGCAAGUCGAACGCGAGAGGAGGGAGCUUGCUCCCUCUGAUCGAGUGGCGGACGGGUGAGUAACACGUAGGCAACCUGCCCAUCAGUCCGGGAUAACCGCGGGAAACCGUGGCUAAUACCGGAUGAUCCUCUCCACCGCGGGGUGGGGAGUUGAAAGACGGUUUUGGCUGUCGCUGAUGGAUGGGCCUGCGGCGCCGUAGCUGGUUGGCGGGGUAAGGGCCCACCAAGGCAGCGAUGCGUAGCGGGCCUUAGACGGCGACCGGCCACGCGGGGACGGAGACACGGCCCAGACUCCUCCGGGAGUCAGCAGUAGGGAAUCUUCCGCGAUGGACGCAAGUCUGACGAACCAACGCCGCAUGAGUGAAGAAGGGUUUCGGCUCGUAAACCUCUGUUGUUAAGGAAGAACGACAGGUAGAGUAACUGCUACCUGUGUGACGGUACUUAACCAGAAAGCCACGGCUAACUACGUGCCAGCAGCCGCAGUAA